RNAcentral lists this small nuclear RNA (288 nucleotides) under Erinaceus europaeus (western European hedgehog). Its description in RNAcentral is "7SK RNA". It matches the Rfam family "7SK RNA". Rfam says of the family: 7SK was discovered as an abundant small nuclear RNA in the mid-70s but a possible function has only recently been suggested. Lineage: Eukaryota; Metazoa; Chordata; Mammalia; Eulipotyphla; Erinaceidae. The record is from Rfam by way of RNAcentral.
AGAUGUGAGGGCGAUCUGGCUGCGACAUCUGUCACCCCAUUGAUCGCCAGGGUUGAUCCGGCUGAUCUGGCUGGCUAGGCGGGUGUCCCCUUCCUCCCUCACCUCUCCAUGUGCGUCCUUCCGGAAGCUGAGCACUCGGUCGAAGAGGACGGCCUUCCCCAAUAGAGACCGGUCUUGGUCUUCAGUUGAGGGUAUACGAGUAGCUGUGCUCCCCUGCUAGAACCUCCAAACAAGCUCUCAACAAUCUUCAAAGUCAUGUGAACAUUAACACAUGCAUCUGCUUUUGUU